RNAcentral lists this long non-coding RNA (379 nucleotides) under Nicotiana benthamiana. RNAcentral describes it as "long non-coding RNA (NBEN_LNC029164)". Lineage: Eukaryota; Viridiplantae; Streptophyta; Magnoliopsida; Solanales; Solanaceae. The record is from RNAcentral.
GGCAUCCCUUUCGGGAACAUUUGGCUAUUUCCGGCAAAAACAGCAUCACCGACUUAUGUACGACUCUUAUCUUUUUCUUUCUUUUUUUUUCAAAAUGGGAGACCCAAUAUUGCAAACACUGCCUUUUAGCGUCUCAGAGAAGAAUAUUUUAAGGUUGUGUGGGUCAACCGACCAAACUCUAAACAAUUACCAAAGGUGGCCGUUAAUGCAAAGUCAGCCUUAUGGCGUCCCUUUCGGAAAUAUUCGGUUAUUUUGACAAAAACAGCAUCACCCGACUUAUUUCUGACGACAAUUAAAAUUGACAUUUUUUUGGCUAUUUUAGCAAAAGAGGAGGUUGGACCCGAUGAGGGUUGCCUACGUAUCUCACACCCUGUGAGAA